AUAGCACUGAUCAGCUUCUGUCUCAAGAAGUCCUCAUAAGCCUCAGCAAUGAGAUGAUCAUCAUCCCACUUAUCACGGAACGUGUCUGAUUGUGUGGCAAGUCUUACAUAGCCAUCUUCUAAUUCCUUGUUUCUCCAUUGUUCAACAGGUGGUUCACCAAUCUGAUCAGCUAUCCAGUUGAGGUACUCAGCCUGACCGACGACACCAAGACGAUGCGUGUAUCUCUUGGGAAACCCGUUAGCAUCACGCUUUGCAUAGAGGGCGUUAGUGUCCUCCAUCAUUUUGUCUUCUGAAGGAAGUGUGACACGACCGGAUAAAACUGCAGCCACCCACUUGCUUUGAAGCUCAAACAGAGUGAAUAGUAAUGUCUGAAGAAGGAAAAAUGUCUCAUUAGGCGAUGAUUAGUCACACAAAGAAGCUUAGAGUAAGUAGAAUAGAAUGAGUGAGAGACUUCACCAUCCAGGGUAAACCGAUGAAGGAAAGCCCCGGAGCAAGUGCAGGAGGAAACACAUGUUUGUAAAGCGGUCCAACACAGUUAUCAUCCACGGUGAUAUAGCCAUUGGUAUUGAGAAAUGGGAAGUGAUAUAUGUAACCGGUGCAGUGCACAAUAGUAUCUGCUUGUACAACUUUACCAUUCUUGAAAACAAUGGAGCCAUCUUUGCAUGCGGUUUCUAUCUGCACAAACAUAUAUUGAAUCAUGACACUUCUAAUAUGAUCAGUUUCUCAAAAAUAUCGGACCUAAACGAAAUAUUUUUUUAGAAUAUAUUUUUUUUUAAAAAAGCGUCUAACCUAGCGAUUUCUUGAACAUUGGAUAUGAUAAUUUUUUUCUUUCAUUUUCUUUACCAUAGGGUGAAGCCAUAGAUUGUCGGCCCCGGGAAGCUUCUCAUAUGUCUCAGACGGUUUCGACCUAGCUGCGAUAUGGACUUCUUUAGCCACUCCUGUUAAGUCCUUGCUGAUAUCUGAUCCACUAGCAAAGUUUCCUAUCACUACCACAACCUUUCGAACAUGUCAGGUCAAUAAAACAAUCAGUAAAAGGCUUAUAAGUUAUGUAAGAACAUACCUGGUCUUUGAAUGGAUCAGGAACUCUGUAGUUGUGACUAUGAAGUUGCUUCCCUGGCCAUAGAUCUAUACCUAAAAACACUCAAAAUCAUUUCACAUAAGUCAAACAUAUAUUACUUCAAAAGUCAACGAAAGAUUUAAGACUUUUUAAUCAAUUACCAGGAAUUUGAGCAACACGAGGCUCUGUGUAAUGUCCAUUACACACGACCACAGAGUCAAAGAUCUCAUCUCUGGACACCCCAUCGGAGUUUCUUGAUCGGAUCUUCCACUUCCGACCAUCUUGCUCGACAAGAACCACUUCUGUCCCGAACCGAACCAUCUCCACGAGUUUGAACUCUCUCGCGAAGUCUCGAAGAUACGCCAAGACUUCCCUGUGUGUAGGAUACCUUCUCGGGUCUCUAGACUCGUCGUGUUCUGGUCGGGGAACGAAAGGGAAGUCGCUGUAACCCAUACACUCUCUCGGGAGUGGAUCAAAUGCUUUCUUCUGCGAACGUGUCUUUUCUAGCGGUCUCACCAGCGAUAGAAAUCUCUCUUACAAAGAGAAAUUGAGAAGUGGGAUUGUUGGUAUCAAGAAAGAUGAUGCUGUUACCCUGUUUCAAACCAUGACUGGGUCUCGUCCUCUUCCUACACUCGUUGAUUUCAGUAAAUUGUUUAGUGGCAGUUGGAUCUCUGCAAGCAAAUGGGAUUACACAUAACAUUUACACGCUGAGUAUUGUCAUCAAUUGCUUCUGCAGGCGUCGUAAAUUUGGUUUUGCUUUUUCCGCUAUGGGGAAGAUCUUCAAACUUGGGUAUGAGCCUAACACUGUCAUGCUUAACACCCUUCUCAAUGGCUUAUGUCUCGAGGGUAGAGUCUUUGAAGCUAUGGAGUUAGUUGAUCGUAUGGUCCAAAGUCAACAUGUACCAGAUCUCAUCACCCUCAACACUAUUGUCAAUGGACUUUGUCUCCCAGAAUGAAGCAGUGGAUUUAAUUGAUUGAAUGAUGGAUAAAGGAUGUCAAGCCGAUCAGUUUACCUGUGGUCCGAUCUUGAACAGAAUGUGCAAGUCUGGGAACACUGCCUUGGCCUUGGAUCUGCUCACAAAGAUGGAGCAUAGAAAGGUCAAGCCCCACGUAGUCACAUACAGUACGAUUAUCGAUAGUCUUUGCAAAGAUGGGAGCCUCGAAGAUGCCCUCAGCCUUUUCAAGGAAAUGGAAACCAAAGGUUUCAAACCAAAUGUCUUUACCUACAACUCUAUCAUAGGAGGCUUCUGUAGUGCUGGUAGAUGGGAUGACGGUGCACAGUUUCUGAGAGAUAUGAUCAGAAAAGAAAUCACACCAGACAUCAUCACUUUCAGUGCUUUGAUUGAUAGUUUUGUGAAAGAAGGAAAGCUUACUGAGGCUAAAGAGUUGUACAAUGAGAUGAUCACAAGAGGCAUAGAUCCUGACACCAUUACAUAUAACUCAUUGAUAUAUGGGCUGUGCAACGAAAAGCGCUUAGAUGAAGCCAACCAGAUGCUGGAUCUGAUGGUUAGCAAAGGAUGUGAUCCUGAUAUUGUGACUUAUAGUAUCCUUAUAAACGGCUACUACAAGGCUAAACUGGUUGAUGAAGGUAUGAGACUUUUCCGCAAAAUGUCUGUGAGAGGAGUGAUUGCCAAUACAAUCACUUAUAACACUCUCAUCCAAGGAUUUUGUCAAUCAGGAAAACUUAAUGUCGCCAAGGAACUCUUCCAAGAGAUGGUCUCUCAAGGUGUUCAUCCUGGUAUUGUUACCUACAAAAAUUUUCUGGAUGGGUUGUGUGACAAUGGAGAAGUAGAAGAGGCUUUGGGAAUACUUGAAAAGAUGCACAAGUGUAAGACGGAACUUGACAUUGGUAUAUAUACUAUCAUCAUUCACGGGAUGUGCAAUGCUAGUAAGGUCGAUGAUACUUGGGAUCUAUUCGGUAGCCUCCCUCUCAAAGGAGUGAAGCCGAAUGUCAUAACAUAUACUAUAAUGAUUGGAGGACUAUGUAAGAAAGGGUCGCUGUCUGAAGCGAGACUGUUGCUUAGGAAGAUGGAAGAGGAUGGGAUUGCGCCAGAUAGUGGUCCAUACAACACUCUCAUCAGGGCACAUCUCCGAGAUGGUGACGUAAGCAUUUCAGUUGAACUCAUCGAAGAAAUGAAGAGGUGUGGCUUCUCUGCAGAUGCUUCCACUGUAAAGAUAGUUAUGGAUAUGUUAUCGGAUGGGAGAUUGGACAGAAGCUUUCUAGACAUGCUUUCUUAAAUGCCUCAUCCAACUAAGUGCCGGUUAGUGUUUACAAGUUAACUGGGUUUUUUUAGUUGAAACACGUUUUUUUAUGUCUAAGGGCAAUGUGGCUUCUCUGGUCUGCCCUUAAAUUACAACAUAGGCAUUGCUAUGCGAAAGGUUUCUUGGCUUAGGAAAGGUUUUGGAAAUUUUCUAGAUGUUAAACACGACUGAGCAAGCUCUUCUUUAAGCCCUUUCUCACUAUGCUCAUCUGUAUACUUUUGCUGUUUAGGUUUUACUUGUAAUGUUAUGAACAAAUCUGUUAUCUCUCUAGUUUGUUUUGGAAAUUGUUUUUUCGGUACAUGUCUCUGCACUGAAACGAACCUUCAUGAUCUGCUCUAAAUGUCCUUUUCUUGGGUGGACAAUAGGAUGAUGAUAUAUACGGAAAGCACUUUCUCAGAAUCUGAACCUGUAGAGAAUGCUCCAUGACUCCAAAUUCUCUCGUUCAGUCAAGUCGGUCUCCACUGAUCUUAUUUUGCAGAUCUUUCUCACCAGCUACCCUUUGAAUGCUAAUUGGUCACGAAGAACUAGCCGAGAAACUUGGAUACUAAGAUGCUCCGAUAUGAUUGAAAUUUACAACAUGAAACAUAACAAUAGGAUUGAUGUGAUGAGUUAGAAGAAACGGCGUCAAAAAGAAAAUGUAUAACAUGCUUAGUGCUUUUAUUCAAUCUGUAUAAAACAUUGUUUGUUUUAUUCCAAUAUAGUAAGUAUAAAGACAAUGAAAAUGGUGAAGUUCAACAUCACAUGAACAACACAUAGAUAUAGAUCAAUCAUUUGGUAAAGGCAUCAAUCACCCAAAUAUCUGAGAGGGAAUAGCACUGAUCAGCUUCUGUCUCAAGAAGUCCUCAUAAGCCUCAGCAAUGAGAUGAUCAUCAUCCCACUUAUCACGGAACGUGUCUGAUUGUGUGGCAAGUCUUACAUAGCCAUCUUCUAAUUCCUUGUUUCUCCAUUGUUCAACAGGUGGUUCACCAAUCUGAUCAGCUAUCCAGUUGAGGUACUCAGCCUGACCGACGACACCAAGACGAUGCGUGUAUCUCUUGGGAAACCCGUUAGCAUCACGCUUUGCAUAGAGGGCGUUAGUGUCCUCCAUCAUUUUGUCUUCUGAAGGAAGUGUGACACGACCGGAUAAAACUGCAGCCA
Molecule: long non-coding RNA, 4456 nt
Filed under: Brassica napus (rape)
Lineage: Eukaryota; Viridiplantae; Streptophyta; Magnoliopsida; Brassicales; Brassicaceae
Description: long non-coding RNA (BNAP_LNC022293)
Source: RNAcentral